UGGGGUAUCGCCAAGCGGUAAGGCACAGGAUUUUGAUUCCUGCAUUCAUCGGUUCGAAUCCGAUUAUCCCAG
This 72-nucleotide transfer RNA is filed under the name Coprobacillus sp. RNAcentral's name for it is "tRNA-Gln". It matches the Rfam family "tRNA". Rfam says of the family: Transfer RNA (tRNA) molecules are approximately 80 nucleotides in length. Their secondary structure includes four short double-helical elements and three loops (D, anti-codon, and T loops). Lineage: Bacteria; Bacillati; Bacillota; Erysipelotrichia; Erysipelotrichales; Coprobacillaceae. The record is from RNAcentral.